Long non-coding RNA from Eriocheir sinensis (Chinese mitten crab), 481 nucleotides. RefSeq lists it as uncharacterized. The transcript has 4 exons. The record is from RefSeq and is a predicted model, not a curated record. NCBI's taxonomy places the organism in Eukaryota, Metazoa, Arthropoda, Malacostraca, Decapoda, Varunidae.
CAGCGGCGGUGGACGUGGCGGCAUUUGGCUGGGACGAGCGGCAGCAGGCAGGUGUGUCCGGCGCCCGGUCCCACCACUGUUGCCGCCACCACCGUCAGGAGUUCUGCGUCGCUGCUCCUUGGACGCCGCGCUCGCUGCCACCUCCUCCGUCAUAGCUGUCAGGAGGCAGUGCUUGGCGCUGUCCCUUGGGGUGCCGGCCAGGGUGGUCCCAUCGCUAGAAGACCUCGGCCAGCUGGGGGCAGUACGGUUUGUCGCAGGCGGUCCGGCACGGCUCCCGGGACUCCAGGGCCUUGAACAAUACUGUGAUGAUGUACAACAGCACCAGCACCCAUGGUACUACGUGAGGGAAGGAGGAAGACUGCGAGAAGAAUGUGGAAGAGGAAGGAUGAGAGGAAGAUAUCAAGAUGGUGUGUAACAUGCUUACUGCUCAGCAUCAGAAUCGAACCAGCAAAAAUGAAUUCAAUAAACGAUGUAACAUGUA